This is a non-coding RNA of Misgurnus anguillicaudatus (oriental weatherfish), 1482 nucleotides long. NCBI's taxonomy places the organism in Eukaryota, Metazoa, Chordata, Actinopteri, Cypriniformes, Cobitidae. The record is from RefSeq and is a predicted model, not a curated record.
UCACCAGGUGACUAGGGUAGGGCGGGAACCAAAAGUGGCAGAGAAGAGUUCCGCUUGGACAUGGUUUCCGCCCGGACCUGAUUUUUAAUCAUUUGUACUUCCUGAUCUCCCUAGCAACACAAUCGGGGUUUUAUUGGAAACAGGUGCGCAGGAUUAAGGGAGCGAUCCAUGAUUGGAAGAGGACAUGAAGACGGGCCAAAUAAAGAGGGCUGUAGCAACGCACAGAGGCAAGUUCAUUUUUGGGCACGAGUUGCUGCACUGCCUAGGGCAGACCCGAUCACACGCUCCGUCCUUGGAGGAGCCGAAGGGCGCCGUUGAUCCACGGGAGCGCUUAUAGCGCAUGGAAAGAGUGCGGCAGCCAAGAAAGGCAAAAAGGACGGAGCGGUGGAUUUUUAAAGGAACACUGCACCGGAGUGUGCUUGUGGUAUACUUUGUGUACGUUGUGUUGCUGCUUUGCAGACGGACCACGCUGGUUGGAUCGCUCUCCUGGAGAAGAGAGUAAGAGACAAACAGCUGACGAAGGAAUAUUGUGGGGCUUCGGUGAGAAAGAGUGGACACAGAGCCAUCGAGAGCACAGUGAACAGAGGUUAUUGGCAACCAAGCGUGAGUAACCGCUAUGAUACUUCUCUGUACAUGACUUGUAUGAAGAGUCGUCCUGGUGUGUGUUCUUGUGUUUCGUGAGGUCCCUGGCCCCACUGGAGAGGAGAGCGUGGGUGAGCCGCGGGUUGACCGGAAGCACGGACGAAGCACCGCCCGCCAGUACGCCAGUGGCCCUGUGGGAAAAAGGAAGUGCAGCGUUCAAACUGCCCAGCCUCUGACGAGACACGAGAUGAUGACAUCUGUUGUGGCCUGAGUCCUAUAGAGAGAGAAAAUCAAGCCCUGUGCCCGGGGUGUGACAACGAGAGCUUCGUCUAUACACUGUAGCGCAACCAGUAAAGCUCUGUGUGGGAACGAGGAUCCCCCGGCUCUGUGAGUAACGCAGCCUGUGAGAUAACCUGUUCUGUGCUUAUAGCAACUACCUACCUGAACCAGUGAAGCUCUGUGUGGGAACGAGGAUCCCCCGGCACUGUGAGUAACGCAACCUGUGAAAUAACCUGUUCUGUGCUUAUAGCAACUACCUACCUGAACCAGUGAAGCUCUGUGUGGGAACGAGGAUCCCCCGGCACUGUGAGUAAUGCAACCUGUGGAAUAAAUCUGUGCUGUGCUUAUAGCAACUACCUGCCUGCAUCAGUGAAGCUCUGUGUGGGAACGAGGAUCCCCCAGUACUGUGAGUAUCGGCGAAGUAUUUACCCUGGUCUGACUGUGUGUGAUUCUGCCUCCAGGAGAAGCGGAGCGCGCCACGGAUCACUGGGCCAGAGCCCCGGUCCCCAGUCUUUUCCCCAAGUGGCCCUGGAGGCAAAGAAGAGCCACAUUAGUUUUAAAUUGCCCUUUCCCCUUUCCCCCUUUUCUUUUAAAUAUUUAAUAAAGUUUAUUUUAAUUAUA